RNAcentral lists this ribosomal RNA (251 nucleotides) under uncultured prokaryote. RNAcentral describes it as "partial 16S ribosomal RNA". It matches the Rfam family "Bacterial small subunit ribosomal RNA", at positions 355 to 601 of the family's 1533-position model. The record is from RNAcentral.
UCUAGAGGCUUCGGCAAUGGGGGCAACCCUGACCGAGCGACGCCGCGUGCGGGAUUGAAGGCCUUCGGGUCGUAAACCGCUGUCAGGUGGGAAGAAUGCCCGUAUGGCGAAUACGGGAGCGACGGUACCACCAGAGGAAGCCCCGGCUAACUCCGUGCCAGCAGCCGCGGUAAUACGGAGGGGGGAAGCGUUAUUCGGAUUUACUGGGCGUAAAGGGUGCGUCGGCGGCCGCGCAAGUCUGACGUGAAAUC